GCUUCUAUGGUGGAAUGGUAGACACAGCAGACUCAAAAUCUGUCGCAACUUUAGCAUAAGGGUUCAAGUCCCUUUGGAAGUA
RNAcentral lists this transfer RNA (82 nucleotides) under uncultured bacterium. RNAcentral describes it as "tRNA-Leu". It matches the Rfam family "tRNA". Rfam says of the family: Transfer RNA (tRNA) molecules are approximately 80 nucleotides in length. The record is from RNAcentral.